This 131-nucleotide microRNA precursor is filed under the name Prunus persica (peach). RNAcentral's name for it is "miR6296 stem-loop (ppe-MIR6296)". The record is from miRBase by way of RNAcentral. Lineage: Eukaryota; Viridiplantae; Streptophyta; Magnoliopsida; Rosales; Rosaceae.
CGGUUAAGAAAUAAGGUCUCACCUAAGGGCCAUAUAUAAAACCCUCACUAUUGAAUUCUUGCAUACAUUUGUACAUAGAAUAUAUAGUGAGUGCCUUAUCUAAGGCCCUUAGAUGAGACCCCAUCUUAACC